CGGGAUGUAGCUCAGGCGGUUAGAGUACGCGUCUGGGGGGCGUGUGGUCGCAAGUUCGAAUCUUGUCAUCCCGA
This 74-nucleotide transfer RNA is filed under the name Bacteroidales bacterium. Its description in RNAcentral is "tRNA-Pro". It matches the Rfam family "tRNA". From Rfam's summary of the family: Transfer RNA (tRNA) molecules are approximately 80 nucleotides in length. Lineage: Bacteria; Pseudomonadati; Bacteroidota; Bacteroidia; Bacteroidales. The record is from RNAcentral.